RNAcentral lists this ribosomal RNA (470 nucleotides) under uncultured bacterium. RNAcentral describes it as "bacterial SSU rRNA". It matches the Rfam family "Bacterial small subunit ribosomal RNA", at positions 30 to 533 of the family's 1533-position model. The record is from RNAcentral.
AUUGAACGCUGGCGGCAUGCUUUACACAUGCAAGUCGAACGGUAACAGGCCUUCGGGUGCUGACGAGUGGCGAACGGGUGAGUAAUGCAUCGGAACGUGCCCAAAGGUACGGAAUAGCCUCGGGAAACUGAGAGUAAUACCGUAUGUGCCCUUCGGGGGAAAGAUUUAUCGUCAAAGGAUUAGCCCGCGUUGGAUUAGAUAGUUGGUGGGGUAAUGGCCUACCAAGUCUACGAUCCAUAGCUGGUUUGAGAGGAUGAUCAGCAACACUGGGACUGAGACACGGCCCAGACUCCUACGGGAGGCAGCAGUGGGGAAUCUUAGACAAUGGGCGCAAGCCUGAUCUAGCCAUGCCGCGUGGACGAUGAAGGCCUUAGGGUUGUAAAGUCCUUUCAGAUGGGAAGAUAAUGACGGUACCAUCAGAAGAAGCCCCGGCUAACUCCGUGCCAGCAGCCGCGGUAAAGUGGGACUGU